GAUGAACGCUGGCGGCGUGCCUAAUACAUGCAAGUCGAGCGAACAGACGAGGAGCUUGCUCCUCUGACGUUAGCGGCGGACGGGUGAGUAACACGUGGAUAACCUACCUAUAAGACUGGGAUAACUUCGGGAAACCGGAGCUAAUACCGGAUAAUAUAUUGAACCGCAUGGUUCAAUAGUGAAAGACGGUUUUGCUGUUACUUAUAGAUGGAUCCGCGCCGCAUUAGCUAGUUGGUAAGGUAACGGCUUACCAAGGCAACGAUGCGUAGCCGACCUGAGAGGGUGAUCGGCCACACUGGAACUGAGACACGGUCCAGACUCCUACGGGAGGCAGCAGUAGGGAAUCUUCCGCAAUGGGCGAAAGCCUGACGGAGCAACGCCGCGUGAGUGAUGAAGGUCUUCGGAUCGUAAAACUCUGUGAUUAGGAAAGAACAAAUGUGUAAGUAACUAUGCACGUCUUGACGGUACCUAAUCAGAAAGCCACGGCUAACUACGUG
This 497-nucleotide ribosomal RNA is filed under the name uncultured bacterium. RNAcentral's name for it is "partial 16S ribosomal RNA". It matches the Rfam family "Bacterial small subunit ribosomal RNA", at positions 28 to 507 of the family's 1533-position model. The record is from RNAcentral.